Molecule: long non-coding RNA, 1928 nt
Organism: Bos taurus (domestic cattle)
Lineage: Eukaryota; Metazoa; Chordata; Mammalia; Artiodactyla; Bovidae
Source: Ensembl
GCUGGCAUCCAUCUUGGCUGAGCAAUGCAUGCACCACUAGGAAGGACCCUGAGUCAGAAGGAUAGGCCAGAGACAACCCGGAAACUAAUCCCAUCACCAUAAAACCCGGGACUUCGAGCCACGUGACAGAGCAGCUCUCCUGGGCUCCCUCACCCUCCUGCUCUCCCCCCGGGGGGUGGGGGGGACCCUUCCCAAUAAAGUCUCUUGCUUUGUCAGCAUGUGUGUGUCCUCGGACAAUUCAUUUCUGAGUGUUAGACAGAGCCCCAUCUCAGACCCUGAAAGGGCUCCCCCUUCUUGCAACACAGCUAUGAAUUCCUCCAGGUAGGUGAUACUGAGGACAGAGUGCUCAAUUGAGCCUGUGUGACCUUGGAGAGUCACUUCCCUCUCUGAAUCUUUAUUUUCUGCCGGAGAACAAUUAGCUGCCCAUCCAGUAGCAGCAAUGUUUGGGAUCACCUGAGCUGGGGUUUGUAAAAGCGCUGAGAAGAUUGCAGCUAAAUUAGAGGAUGGUCGGAAACAAUAAAUGCCAGGAAAGGGAGCACGAUGAGGCCCAGCUCUGCUGUGCGGUGAAGACGUCUGGGUUUCUUAGAGUUAUCAGCUCCUGUGCCACGACUGGCCUUUGCCCCCAGGAAUGGCUGAUGAAGGCCUUCACGGCUCCCACUUCUGAGGAUAAAUCUCGAGGGGGAAGAGGGUAUGCCAAGUGGUCUUCCAUCCACCCACCUCCGCAGCCCCAGCCUCUCCAGGGCAGAAGUCAGAGAGCAGGACAUCAAGGGGAUUUGCAGGAGUAUUUUGAACACCCCACUCUCGAACGUGCCACCUGCAAGGGCUCCCAUCUGGAGGACAGCAGGGAAGCGCUGUCCAUCUUCCAGCCUCUCCUUGGCGAGUGAGCCCCACAUGGCAUGGGAUGGCGCUCUGAACUUUAAGUUCCUGGCUCAGUGACUGGCAUACAACAGGAGCUUAAUAAAGGACUUGGAGACAAAAGACGGAAGCCUCUCCCAUGCUUUACUGAAUCUCCUAUCCUUCCUCUGCUCCCUCCAUGCCAAUCUGAGUGCCUCUCCUCCUGAUUUCUGCUGGAAUUGAACACCCCUGAGCUAUCACCCCUUGCCAGGCAGGUGGCCCAGUCCUGUGUCCCUGUCUCUGCUGAUCCCACAGAGAAGCUGCCUGUGUGUGCGCUCUCUUUCACAGCGCAAGGACUCUAUCCAUCAGCAUUAUGGAUUAUCUUUCUUAUGUCGGCUUAAAAAAAAAAAAUGCAUACACUUGGCCCAGACAAGCAAAGUUGUGGCUUCUGUUUUCUGUAAUGAAUCUAAUAACUGUUGUCACAGUCUUCACCUGGUAGGGUAAUGAGAGAAACAUUUGGUAGGCUAUUUAAUUGACUUUAACGGACUGGCUUGGGGUUUGGGGGUAAAUACACAGGAGUUCAAAAUUCAACUCUAAUGAGCCAUUUGGUAAUGAGGACCAGGAUUCUUGUGCUGCUCAGGGUGCUGGUGGGGGUGGAUCCCUGGCUGACUGGCCCCCUCGUGGCUCUCUGCUCUGGGUGACCUUCUGGACUGGCCCAUGAGCUGGGAGGGCCAGUCUGUCCCUGCAGUCCCAGGGACAUUUGCUGCUGGCAUCCAUGGCAGUCUACUCAGCUUCCCUCCUUACUCUGGGACCUCCGCCAGGAGGAGGCGGGACAGCACAUCUCUGACCUGGGUCCAUCUUCUUUCCACAAUUCCCUGGGCCAGGAGGAGAGGGCUCUUCUUGCUUCACUUUUUGCCUCGCUCUCCCUCACAUCCUUGCCACCAGUGUGGUCCAUGGACGAGCAGCAUCGGCAUCACCUAGGACCCUGGAAGAAAUGCAGAUUCUCGGGCCCCACCCCAGACCUUCUGAACUGCAUCUGCAUUUUAACAAGGCUAGGUGGACCGACACUGUGCUGAGAAGGAGCAGAGGGGAGA